UACUAUGUAUGAGUUGGUUCCCAUAAAGAC
This 30-nucleotide non-coding RNA is filed under the name Rattus norvegicus (Norway rat). The record is from RNAcentral. Lineage: Eukaryota; Metazoa; Chordata; Mammalia; Rodentia; Muridae.